RNAcentral lists this ribosomal RNA (467 nucleotides) under uncultured bacterium. Its description in RNAcentral is "partial 16S ribosomal RNA". It matches the Rfam family "Bacterial small subunit ribosomal RNA", at positions 28 to 506 of the family's 1533-position model. The record is from RNAcentral.
GACGAACGCUGGCGGCGUGCUUAACACAUGCAAGUCGAACGGAAAGGCCCUGCUUUUGUGGGGUGCUCGAGUGGCGAACGGGUGAGUAACACGUGAGUAACCUGCCCUUGACUUUGGGAUAACUUCAGGAAACUGGGGCUAAUACCGGAUAGGAGCUCCUGCUGCAUGGUGGGGGGUGGAAAUUUUCGGCGGUUGGGGUUGGACUCGCGGCUUAUCAGCUUGUUGGUGGGGUAGUGGCUUACCAAGGCUUUGACGGGUAGCCGGCCUGGGAGGGUGACCGGCCACAUUGGGACUGAGAUACGGCCCAGACGCCUACGGGAGACAGCAGUGGAGAAUAUUGCACAAUGGGCGGAAGCCUGAUGCAGCAACGCCGCGUGCGGGAUGACGGCCUUCGGGUUGUAAAACGCUUUCGCCUGUGACGAAGCGUGAGUGACGGUAAUGGGUAAAGAAGCACCGGCUAACUACGU